GGAUGUGAAGGCCUUCGGGCUGCAAUGUCUGUCACCCCAUUGAUGACCAGCAUUGAUGUGGCUUGAUCUGGCUGACUAAGUGGGUGCCCCUUUCCUCUCUCAAUGCUGCAUGUGUGUCCCUCCCAAAGAUGCACCCUCAGUCGAAGAGGACGACCAUCCCCUAUAGAGGAGGAGCAUUACUCGGUCAAGGGUGUAUGAGUAACUCUGCUCCCCUGCUAGAACCUUCAAAGAAGCUCUCAAGAAUUGUGAUGUUUCCAUUCUGCAUAUAUUAGUAUUGGUAGAACUUUAAAGAAAAUUCUAUAUAGCUAGUUAAGGUCUUUCACU
RNAcentral lists this small nuclear RNA (324 nucleotides) under Octodon degus (degu). RNAcentral's name for it is "7SK RNA (ENSODEG00000023956.1)". It matches the Rfam family "7SK RNA". Rfam says of the family: 7SK was discovered as an abundant small nuclear RNA in the mid-70s but a possible function has only recently been suggested. Lineage: Eukaryota; Metazoa; Chordata; Mammalia; Rodentia; Octodontidae. The record is from Rfam by way of RNAcentral.